RNAcentral lists this transfer RNA (74 nucleotides) under Heliconius melpomene (postman butterfly). Its description in RNAcentral is "tRNA HMEL010995". It matches the Rfam family "tRNA". Rfam says of the family: Transfer RNA (tRNA) molecules are approximately 80 nucleotides in length. Their secondary structure includes four short double-helical elements and three loops (D, anti-codon, and T loops). Further hydrogen bonds mediate the characteristic L-shaped molecular structure. tRNAs have two regions of fundamental functional importance: the anti-codon, which is responsible for specific mRNA codon recognition, and the 3' end, to which the tRNAs corresponding amino acid is attached (by aminoacyl-tRNA synthetases). tRNAs cope with the degeneracy of the genetic code in two manners: having more than one tRNA (with a specific anti-codon) for a particular amino acid; and 'wobble' base-pairing, i.e. permitting non-standard base-pairing at the 3rd anti-codon position. The record is from RNAcentral. Lineage: Eukaryota; Metazoa; Arthropoda; Insecta; Lepidoptera; Nymphalidae.
UAACGUAUGGUUUAGUUGGUCAGAACGCUUGGACGGUUUCUAAAGAGGCGCGAGUUUAAAUCCCGUUACGUUCA